UACAGAGGGGGCAAGCGUUGUUCGGAAUUACUGGGCGUAAAGGGCGCGUAGGCGGCCUGUUAAGUCGAACGUGAAAUCCCUGGGCUCAACCCAGGAACUGCGUCCGAUACUGGCAGGCUUGAAUUCGGGAGAGGGAUGCGGAAUUCCAGGUGUAGCGGUGAAAUGCGUAGAUAUCUGGAGGAACACCGGUGGCGAAGGCGGGUCUCUGGACAGUUCCUGACACUGAGGCACGAAGGCCAGGGGAGCAAACGGG
Molecule: ribosomal RNA, 253 nt
Filed under: uncultured bacterium
Lineage: Bacteria
Description: partial 16S ribosomal RNA
Rfam family: Bacterial small subunit ribosomal RNA
Source: RNAcentral